UACAGAGGUCCCAAGCGUUGUUCGGAUUCACUGGGCGUAAAGGGUGCGUAGGUGGCCAGGUAAGUUUGGUGUGAAAGCUCGGAGCUUAACUCCGAAAAGUCAUUGAAUACUAUCUGGCUGGAGGGUCGGAGGGGAGACUGGAAUUCUCGGUGUAGCAGUGAAAUGCGUAGAUAUCGAGAGGAACACCAGUGGCGAAGGCGAGUCUCUGGACGACUCCUGACACUGAGGCACGAAAGCUAAGGGGGAGCAAACCAGG
This 256-nucleotide ribosomal RNA is filed under the name uncultured bacterium. RNAcentral's name for it is "partial 16S ribosomal RNA". It matches the Rfam family "Bacterial small subunit ribosomal RNA", at positions 524 to 777 of the family's 1533-position model. The record is from RNAcentral.